Long non-coding RNA from Rhinichthys klamathensis goyatoka, 863 nucleotides. RefSeq lists it as uncharacterized. The record is from RefSeq and is a predicted model, not a curated record. The transcript has 2 exons. Lineage: Eukaryota; Metazoa; Chordata; Actinopteri; Cypriniformes; Leuciscidae.
UGCGUUUGGCGGUGAGCAUCUUGAACAGCAUCCUGUGAAGGGAGCGGUUCAGAACGCGCAGGUCCAGGAUUGGCCGUAACCCACCGGUUUUCUUCGGGACAAUGAAGUAGGGGCUGUAGAAGCCGGACCUCAUUUCGCCUGGAGGGACAGUCUCGAUCGCACCCUUCGCCAGUAGGGUAGCAACCUCUGCUCUCAUGAUAGGGGCAUUGCCACCGACCAUAGUGGAGCAGACUCCCCUGAAGCAGGGAGGAGACCGCGUGAACUGAAUCGCGUAGCCGAGCCUGAUCGUCCGAGCGACCCAGCGGGACAGCAUGGCAGUCAUCUCGGGAUCAGACUCGACGAACGACUGCACACCCGAAGGAGGCAGCGCUGUCGAGUCUUCACUCGACGAAUCCUGCCCACCUUGUGAUGCAGCGACAGACAUCGCAUCAUCCUCUGUAGCACCAAAGGAAACUCGCGGGACAUCCGAAGAUGGGCCCGCUGGAAUCCCCUGGACACUAACGGGCACCGUCACUGGAGGGGUAGGUGCAGGGCACGGACAAAUAGUCGGCGCCUUGUUCCACACCGUCACCCUGGCCACCAGCCGAAGUACUAGCUCUAGGUUUAGAGGAAGUAGAUCGGGGUGUGGAUGAGGGGACUCUCACUCUUGCGAGAUCAUUGAGUCUCGACCGCAAUGACGCGAUGGUAAUCUUCCCACAGAGAGAACAUGAGUCAUCCACGAGCGCUGCUCUAGCGUGAUCAAUGCCCAAACACACUAGACAGCGCUCGUGCCCAUCAGAGUCAGACACGAGUCUGCCACAACCAGAAGUGCACGGGCUAGGCAUCUUUAAAAAGACGUGCCACGUGCAAGCUCUUUUAGAGAG